Molecule: long non-coding RNA, 3482 nt
Organism: Ictalurus punctatus (channel catfish)
Lineage: Eukaryota; Metazoa; Chordata; Actinopteri; Siluriformes; Ictaluridae
Source: Ensembl
CUCCUUCACUGGGUCUAAGGCACAGAAGCCAAACCUCCUUCACUGGGACUAAGGCACAGAGGCCACACCUCCUUCACUGGAAAUAAGGCACAGAAGCCACACCUCCUUCACUGGGACUAAGGCACAGAGGCCACACCUCCUUCACUGGAACUAAGGCACAGAGGCCACACCUCCUUCACUGGGACUAAGGCACAGAGGCCACACCUCCUUCACUGGAACUAAGGCCACACCUCCUUCACUGGGACUAAGGCACAGAGGCCACACCUCCUUCACUGGAACUAAGGCACACCUCCUUCAGCCUCCAAAUUUAUGCCUUUCAGCUUAUAAAACAAACAUGGUCCAUUCACAAUGAAUGCAUGUCUCAGUCUAAUCUAUUCUUAUGUGCCAUAUGAAGCUUUACACAUAUUUCAUUUGGCAUUUAAUUCAGAUUUAUUUCUUGUGCCAUGGUGUAGUGUUUUAAGAGACGAUCAGUAUGUGUGUAACGUGACGCGGCGGUGUAUGAGCCACUGGGGGCCAUUUCGGCGGUGGUUGGCUCCAACAUCAGCCACAGUCAUUUGGCUGUCUCUCUCUGGUCCUUUAUGAGCAGAAACUAUAAGCUGAACUUGGCAUGGUAAAACUACUAAUAACUUCCAGAAAAGAAAAAAGCUAUUACUAUUUUCCUCUGUUUUAAUAUAGACCUGCUCUUCUGCCGAAUUGUACGUUGUUGUUUUUUUAUUCAUUUGACAGCUCUUUAACUUUCCUACUGCUAAAAGACAUGUUUAACUCAUUUAAUCUAUCUUUUUGAUGUUUAAAAACAUAACCACACAGAUAGUGGUGGAUAGAUAGUCUUAUGCCAUAACUAAAUCAUGAAUACAGUGAAAUGGGGAAAAAAGCUUCAAAAAAGCUUUUAUGUUUGUAAAAUGCAAGUUUUCGAGUUCCACUGUAUUGCUACAGUUGCUAUGGUGAUGUGAACAAUAUCUCAAAUGUCUGAUGAGAACUAGGCUUGUCUUAUCUUGAGUGAUUUUCCGAUAUAACAUAAAUAUGUGAAUAAAUUGUCACAAUACACUUUUUCAGGUGUCACAAUAUCCUUUUAUAUUUUUUUCAAAAUGUUUUAAAUGUUUUUUUUAAAUUAAUUCUUUUUAAUUACCGCUUUAUAUGCUAAAUGCUGAUUUGACUAAAUGUUUCUGUUCUUUCUAAUUUUGUUCUUAUAUCAUCAGUGAGAAUCACUAUAAAUAUGACAAAAACGGUCUUUCAGUGGAAUUAACCUUCAAACACAUUCACAUGCAUUGCUAUAGUUUCCGAGAUGUUUUUUUUUUUGUCAUCAAAAAUGCAGAAAGUCAAACAUCUCACACUUUUUUUAUACAGUAUAUGGUAUUUGUUUUUAAAUUCCCUCAGUGUGUUACCAUUUCCGUUCUCCUAAUGUGCAUGUCUUUUUCUCAUCCUGAUGCUAGAUGACCUGUAAUUUAAAAUGGUAUUUAAAAUGCAUCUGCCAGCAGAAAGAUGAACACUGUGGCUUAGCAGAAGCCAUAACUGCGAGAAAAUAACACCAUCAUCUCAGAAUUAUUGUAAUUAUCAAAUAAUUCUGAAAAUCCUCCGUCCCAGAUAACAGGCCGCAUGAAUGUUACAUGUAAAAAAUAAAAAACAAAAGUUAAGAGUAUUGUAGGAACAUUUUAAAGUUGGAACAUUUUGACAGUUGCCGUUAAAUUCACAUGUGUCCUGGUGCGCUAACUAUAGAAGCAAGCGAGUGAUUACAGAGCCCAUGAACUUCAAAAGCUCUCUGUAUGGAAGACCGCUAACAUGGCUGCCAUCGUAUAAAGUGCAGAUGCUGGAGCUCUUGCUCAAGUUUCCAAAACUUAACUAUAAAACACUGUGUUUGGGUUAAUAUGUGGAUGGUAUGAUCUGGUAUGAUCCCAACAGCAGUGGUAGCAAUGAAGGUUCUGUAUUAGUGACCAGAAGAAACACCAGCAAACAAAACCAUAUUAAAUGAACAUUAACCACCAGCAAACAAAACUAAACUAAAUAAACGAACACAUUAAUUAAUUUACUUUUUCAUUCUUUUUCAGCAUCCUGUUCAGCGUUGUGGUGGAACCGGAGCCAGACCCAGGAACAUUGGGUGCAAGCCAAGAGAAUUCACACAUUCAUUCACACCUAGGGGCGGUUUAGAAUAGUCAAUUCCUGGACGAUUUAGUAGAGUGGGUGGAAACUGAAGAACAGAGCUCAGGAUCAAACCUGGGACCCUGAAGCUAUGAGGUGGCAACGCUACCUGCUGUAUCACUCUACCACUGUGUCAGCCAUUACACAAACAGCAGCCAACGCCCCCCCCCCCCCCCUCCCCCCCAUAAAUAAAUAAGUGCCAUCAACAAAAAACUACAUUAAAUAAAUAUUACACAGAAAACAAUGCCACACUAAAUAAACAUUAAGUCAGCAAACAAAACUACGUUAACAUUAAAAUACCAUCAACAAACAAAAGCAAACUAAAUAAACACUAACAAUGACACAAACAAAACAAAACUGAAUAUACAUCAACCCUGAGGCAAACAAAACUACAUUCACAUUAAAAUACCACCAACAAACAUAACUAAAUCAAUAUUGGUUAGCAGCAAACAAAACCAAACAAAAUAAACAAUAACAAUGACACAAACAAAACCAAACUGAAUAUACAUAAACCCUGAGGCAAACAAAAAUAAUAAACACAAAAAAGCAAAGAAAAUGAAAGCAAAUAACAUUACUGUACACAAACAGCAGCCAAAAAACGAACAAAAUAAACACCAACCAUCAGCAAAUAAAUGCAAACUAAACGAAUAUUAAAGGCAGCAAAUAAUAAUAAAACCAACCUAAAUAAACACCAACCACAAUUUACACCAAACUCAAUCAAAAAAAAAAAUACAAUCAGCAAAUAAAACAAAGCUAAACAAACACCUAAAAUUCAAACAACAGCAAACAAAACCAAAGUAAAUAAGCACCAAACAUCCACAAACAUAUCUAAAUAAAUGUUAAAAAACCAUCAGCAAACAAAAAGAAACUAAAUAAAUAUUAAACAGCAGCAAACAAAAUCGACCUAAAUAAACACCAACCAUCAGCAAACAAGCCUAAACUAAAUAAACACCAACCAUCAGUAAACAAGCCUAAAUUAAUAAACACCAACCAUCAGCAAACAAGCCUAAACUAAAUAAACACCAACCAUCAGUAAACAAGCCUAAAUUAAUAAACACCAACCAUCAGCAAACAAGCCUAAACUAAAUAAACACCAACCAUCAGUAAACAAGCCUAAACUAAAUAAACACCAACCAUCAGUAAACAAGCCUAAACUAAAUAAACACCAACCAUCAGCAAACAAGCCUAAAUUAAUAAACACCAACCAUCAGCCAACAAGCCUAAACUAAAUAAACACCAACCAUCAGCCAACAAGCCUAAACUAAAUAAACACCAACCAUCAUAAAACAAGCCUAAACUAAAUAAACACCAACCAUCAGUAAACAAGCCUAAACUAAAUUAAACACCAA